ACAGGAGGGUUGAGACUGGAGAAAAGGCGGCCAGGCGGGGCUAGCCACCAAAACUGAAGGGGUCUUUGCCUGGGACUUGGGAGCAGCCAAGCCGAGCCGGCUUUCCUGUGUGGGUGAGAGAGCAGGAGCAAGACCGAUUCUCAGUCACCAGCCAUCUGCAUCUCCAGCUAACAGUCGCUGACAAUCGCUAUGUGACAAUCAAGGGCUGGGCAGCAGGAACGAAGGCAAGCUCGUGUGGUGACAUCUGGCCGAUGAUUGGAGCCACCAGGGUCAGACUUCUGGAAAACAGUGCUUUCCUGCUGCUCAGAAGGCAGCGAUGACUGGAGCGUGAGUGGCUGUCUUGAACCACAAGGCAAAAGCCGCACACUGAGCAGGAUGCAGCCAGCUGGUCCGUCCACAGAGUGGCCUGUGGUGACUGUGGAAUCACCAUGCCUGUCCCGGGCUGCCGUCACCUGGAUUUCAUCGAUGUGAAGGAGAAAUAAAUGGAACUUGUGCUAUUAUUUACGUUUUGUGUCUUUUGCAGCCUAAUGGAAUCUUAGGCUAUUUAACAACAUGCAAAGGUGUGCAAUGCCAACUCACUCAUAACUACCUAAGAAUGAAAAUAGCUGUUUCUGUGCUGCUGGACAUCUUCUCCCAAGUCUUUCAGCGCCCCAUGAGCGAAGUCAUUAUCCAAAGACAGACAGGAGAGUACAGACUCCGGGCCGCAACAGCCAGGCUGCCUAGCACUUGGCCACAUUCUUCGCUUACAACCCUGCCCUCCUCCCUCAAAGCAGUAAACCUCGGUCCUGUACGCCCCGGACUUCCUCCCACUGGGGAGCACUACUUUCUGUCUGCUCUUUUCUACAUGCCCAGUAACCUGCCUUUUGUUAAUAUGAUGCAAAUCAGGUACACUAAAAUCAAAAAUAAUUCAGCUCUCUGGUUGGCAUCAGAUUUGAGCCCCGCUUCUGGACUUACAUAAUAGACGUCUUAACUGAGCAGAGACUUAUUUACCCAAAACCUGUUUUUGUUCCUUAGGUGUGCGUGGUUUAGCUUCUUAAUGCUUUUCCUGCACACAGGAUGCUUCCUUAUCUGACUAUUUGUAUGUUCUAAAGGAUACUUUGACUUAUCACUAAUGGCAGGGACCAAAGAAAUAACCAAGUUUGGGACUAACGCCAGAGUUCAGCUGGUGCGGAGGCCAGCAGGACAAAUCCUACCGCCUUCCUGCAAAAGACAUCCAGAGGAAAAACUGGUUUUAGCAGGGUCAUGGCAAAAACAGUUGCAGAGUUGCUAAAUUUGAGGUUCUAACCACCAACCUUGUGUGGAAGCCUGGCCGUGUGCCUGGCGGUGUUCUACGUGCUUAAAUAAGUCGCUUCAUGGGCCAGCCAGAUAGCU
This is a long non-coding RNA of Octodon degus (degu), 1371 nucleotides long. RefSeq lists it as uncharacterized. NCBI's taxonomy places the organism in Eukaryota, Metazoa, Chordata, Mammalia, Rodentia, Octodontidae. The transcript is spliced from 3 exons. The record is from RefSeq and is a predicted model, not a curated record.